RNAcentral lists this ribosomal RNA (216 nucleotides) under Glomeromycotina sp. RNAcentral describes it as "partial small subunit ribosomal RNA". The stretch from base 40 to 216 matches the Rfam family "Eukaryotic small subunit ribosomal RNA", at positions 686 to 864 of the family's 1831-position model. Lineage: Eukaryota; Fungi; Glomeromycota. The record is from RNAcentral.
GGGUCAGGAGGUUGGUCGUGCCACCGGUACGUACUGGUCUCACUGAUUCCUCCUUCCUGAGGAACCGUAAUGCCAUUAAUUUGGUGUUGCGGGGAAACAGGACUGUUACUUUGAAAAAAUUAGAGUGUUUAAAGCAAGCUAACGCUUGAAUACAUUAGCAUGGAAUAAUGAAAUAGGACGAUCGAUCCUAUUUUGUUGGUUUCUAGGAUUGACGUA